CCUACGGGUGGCAGCAGUAGGGAAUAUUGCUCAAUGGGGGAAACCCUGAAGCAGCAACGCCGCGUGGAGGAUGAAGGUUUUCGGAUUGUAAACUCCUUUUUUUAGAGAAGAUAAUGACGGUAUCUAACGAAUAAGCACCGUCUAACUCCGUGCCAGCAGCCGUGGUAAUACGGAGGGUGCAAGCGUUACUCGGAAUCUCUGGGCGUAAAGAGGGCGUAGGCGGGAUAGCAAGUCAGAUGUGAAAUCCUAUGGCUUAACCAUAGAACUGCAUUUGAAACUGUAAAUCUAGAGUAUGGGAGAGGUAGGUGGAAUUCUUGGUGUAGCGGUGAAAUGCGUAGAGAUCAAGAGGAAUACUGAUUGCGAAGGCGACCUGCUAGAACGUAACUGACGCUGAGGAGCGAAAGCGUGGGUAGCAAACAGGAUUAGAUACCCUAGUAGUC
Molecule: ribosomal RNA, 440 nt
Filed under: uncultured bacterium
Lineage: Bacteria
Description: partial 16S ribosomal RNA
Rfam family: Bacterial small subunit ribosomal RNA
Source: RNAcentral